AGGACGAACGCUGGCGGCGUGCUUAACACAUGCAAGUCGAGCGGUGAUCCUCCUUCGGGAGGUGAUCAGCGGCGAACGGGUGAGUAACACGUGGGCAACCUGCCCCUCACACUGGGAUAGCCUCGGGAAACCGGGGCUAAUACCGGAUACGACCUCGAGCGGCAUCUCUUGAGGUGGAAAGCUCCGACGGUGAGGGAUGGGCCCGCGGCCUAUCAGCUUGUUGGUGGGGUAAUGGCCUACCAAGGCGACGACGGGUA
RNAcentral lists this ribosomal RNA (257 nucleotides) under uncultured bacterium. RNAcentral describes it as "partial small subunit ribosomal RNA". It matches the Rfam family "Bacterial small subunit ribosomal RNA", at positions 26 to 285 of the family's 1533-position model. The record is from RNAcentral.